GUUGAGGAAGUUGUCUCCUAUAACAAUGAGUUCAAGGAUAUUUGCUCCUUUCUGUUAUAUUAGGUUUAAAGUAUCUGGCUUUACAUUAAGGUCGUUGAUCCAUUUACUUGAGUUUUGUGAAGAGUGAUAGAUAUGGAUCUAUUUGUAUUCUACAUGCAGAAAACCAGUUAGACCAGCACCAUUUGUUGAAGAUGCUUUCUUUAUUAUGGUUUUGGCUUCUUUGUCAAAGAUCAAGUGCCCAUAGGCCUGGCUGGGCCAUGCUGCUGGACAGAAGGCUCUGGUUUGCUGGGAGUUGCCCUCUUCCCUUCAUACCAGACUUACUCCAUCACGCAGCCAUGUGAGGCUGGCCUGCCUUGCCUUUCAUAUUUCCUGCAUUCUCUGGAGAUAGGGGAUUUGUUGACAUUUUUCUACAAACCCUGUUGCUAUUAUGAAUCAGAAACAGAUUUCAAGCUCCAGCACUCUCAGAGUUAAGCUGCAUUGAAAAGGAGGA
Molecule: long non-coding RNA, 490 nt
Filed under: Mus pahari (shrew mouse)
Lineage: Eukaryota; Metazoa; Chordata; Mammalia; Rodentia; Muridae
Description: lncRNA (MGP_PahariEiJ_G0005904.1)
Source: RNAcentral